Ribosomal RNA from Cavia aperea (Brazilian guinea pig), 128 nucleotides. The record is from Ensembl. NCBI's taxonomy places the organism in Eukaryota, Metazoa, Chordata, Mammalia, Rodentia, Caviidae.
GCAACCGAAGAGUCCAUGAACCGCCCGACCUAGUCUGAUCUUGGAAGGUAAGCAGGGUCGGGCCUGGUUAGUACUUGAAUGGGAGAAAGCAACCGAAGAAACAUGCCAUAUGCUCAAUUUUGGUUGUU